CGGUCAGUGGUUACCUGUAGGUCGGUCAGUGGUUACCUUGGUUAACUGUAAGUCGAUCAGUGGUUACCUGUAGGUCAGUCAGUGGUUUUGGUGGUUACCUGUGGGUCAGUCAGUGGUUACCUGUAGGUCAGUCAGUGGUUUUGGUGGUUACCUGUGGGUCAGUCAGUGGUUUUGUCAGUGGUUACCUGUGGGUCGGUCAGUGGUUUUGGUGGUUACCUGUGGGUCGGUCAGUGGUUUUGGUGGUUACCUGUAAGUCAGU
Long non-coding RNA from Sphaeramia orbicularis (orbiculate cardinalfish), 259 nucleotides. RefSeq lists it as uncharacterized. The record is from RefSeq and is a predicted model, not a curated record. Lineage: Eukaryota; Metazoa; Chordata; Actinopteri; Kurtiformes; Apogonidae. The transcript has 4 exons.